This 390-nucleotide ribosomal RNA is filed under the name uncultured bacterium. Its description in RNAcentral is "bacterial SSU rRNA". It matches the Rfam family "Bacterial small subunit ribosomal RNA", at positions 28 to 417 of the family's 1533-position model. The record is from RNAcentral.
GACAAACGCUGGCGGGGUGCAUGAGGCAUGCAAGUCGAACGGGGUUGAGCGGGCUUGCUCGAUCAACCUAGUGGCGGACGGCUGAGUAACGCGUAGGUGACCUACCCGGAAGUGGGGAAUAACUGCCCGAAAGGGUGGCUAAUACCGCAUGUGGUCGGCGAUUCAGUUCGCCGCCCAAAGCCGCAAGGCGCUUCCGGCGGGGCCUGCGUCCGAUUAGCUAGUUGGUGGGGUAAUGGCUCACCAAGGCGACGAUCGGUAGCUGGUCUGAGAGGAUGAUCAGCCAGACUGGGACUGAGAACGGCCCAGACUCCUACGGGAGGCAGCAGUCGGGAAUUUUGCCCAAUGGGACGAAAGUCUGAGGCAGCAACUCCGCGUGAGGGACGAAGGCCU